ACGGGUGAGUAACACGUGGGAACGUACCCUUUGGUUCGGAAUAACGCUGGGAAACUAGCGCUAAUACCGGAUACGCCCUUUUGGGGAAAGGCUCGCUGCCGAAGGAUCGGCCCGCGUCUGAUUAGCUAGUUGGUGGGGUAAUGGCCUACCAAGGCGACGAUCAGUAGCUGGUCUGAGAGGAUGAUCAGCCACACUGGGACUGAGACACGGCCCAGACUCCUACGGGAGGCAGCAGUGGGGAAUAUUGGACAAUGGGCGCAAGCCUGAUCCAGCCAUGCCGCGUGAGUGAUGAAGGCCUUAGGGUUGUAAAGCUCUUUUGUCCGGGACGAUAAUGACGGUACCGGAAGAAUAAGCCCCGGCUAACUUCGUGCCAGCAGCCGCGGUAAUACGAAGGGGGCUAGCGUUGCUCGGAAUCACUGGGCGUAAAGGGCGCGUAGGCGGCCAUUCAAGUCGGGGGUGAAAGCCUGUGGCUCAACCACAGAAUUGCCUUCGAUACUGUUUGGCUUGAGUCUGGUAGAGGUUGGUGGAACUGCGAGU
This 537-nucleotide ribosomal RNA is filed under the name uncultured bacterium. Its description in RNAcentral is "bacterial SSU rRNA". It matches the Rfam family "Bacterial small subunit ribosomal RNA", at positions 102 to 674 of the family's 1533-position model. The record is from RNAcentral.